UGGGGAAUAUUGGACAAUGGGCGAAAGCCUGAUCCAGCCAUGCCGCGUGUGUGAAGAACGUCUUAGGAUUGUACAGCAAUGUAAGUUGGGAGGAAGGGCAUUAACCUAAUACGUUAGUGUUUUGACGUUACCGACAGAAUAAGCACCGGCUAACUCUGUGCCAGCAGCCGCGGUAAUACAGAGGGUGCAAGCGUUAAUCGGAAUUACUGGGCGUAAAGCGCGCGUAGGUGGUUUGGUAAGUUGGAUGUGAAAGCCCCGGGCUCAACCUGGGAACUGCAUCCAAAACUGGCAAGCUAGAGUACGGUAGAGGGUGGUGGAAUUUCCUGUGUAGCGGUGAAAUGCGUAGAUAUAGGAAGGAACACCAGUGGCGAAGGCGACCACCUGGACUGAUACUGACACUGAGGUGCGAAAGCGUGGGGAGCAAACA
RNAcentral lists this ribosomal RNA (427 nucleotides) under uncultured bacterium. Its description in RNAcentral is "partial 16S ribosomal RNA". It matches the Rfam family "Bacterial small subunit ribosomal RNA", at positions 355 to 774 of the family's 1533-position model. The record is from RNAcentral.